Molecule: long non-coding RNA, 982 nt
Filed under: Rattus norvegicus (Norway rat)
Lineage: Eukaryota; Metazoa; Chordata; Mammalia; Rodentia; Muridae
Description: long non-coding RNA NONRATT016604
Source: RNAcentral
UAAUGCAUAGACAGACACUCAAGCACUGACUUUUAGUUGUAGUAAGUGCCUCAGAGAACACUGGAGAUCUGGAAAGGAGUUCUGAAGAAAUAACACCAAUUUCUGAAGAGUGAGUAGAACGGGUGGAGCAAGAGCUGACAAGUCCCAAGUUAUAGAGUGUGAGGAAAGGGGAAGAACUCAAUUCAAGUUGUAAUUAGCCAGAUUUAUGAAAACUCCAAGUAGGGUGACGGCCUUAAAGCCAAAUCAAAGGCAUGCUACCAGCAAGAGGUUAAGGAAAGGAUUUUUGAAGAUGGAGAUGGCAAUUAUCUUGCUUCUGUGGAGUGGAACCUGUAGCUGUGUAGGAAACUACUUAAAUCCCCUCAGCUAUGUGAGGUGCUGUCUCUUUCCCCUUGUUCACAGCUAUGAAGGAGAUGCCUCUGUAUACAGUGAUAAGCAGGUUUACAGAAGCCGGAGCAAGCUGUUGAUCAUCUCACAGCAGUUACACCAUUCUGUGGAGUUUACUAGUUCAUCUUUCAGAAAUUUAGGGCAGAGGCCAAUAGACACCAAGGAGGCACCUGGUACAGAUUAUAAUUUCCUUAACCAUCACAAUGGCACACAAAGGUUUUAAGGAAAGAUGUAGCAAAUUGAAAGAACAGAAUAAUUGGUCUAGUACAGAGGAGAAUGAUGGAGGUAGGGCAGACAAAGACCGGAUUUUGGAGCAUUAGGGAUUUGAGCUUAUUGUAAGAACCGGGAAGACCGAAAGGUCAAUAGAGCCUUAAGCUGUGGAAGCACUAUAUCAGUAGCAAAUAUCAGUAGCAGCACUAACAGAGCUCAGCUUUGUGGGAAACCAAGAUUUGGUUCUGAAGUGGAAGGAGGUUGCAAAGGAAGGCGUAAAUUCUAAAACAAAGGAGAGGACCCAGCAGUACUCAGGAUUCUGAGACAGGAAGAUCAUGAAUUUGAUGCCAGCCCAGGCUACACAGAACCUGUAUUUAAAAAAAAAAAA